AGGCUUAACACAUGCAAGUCGAGCGGAAACGAAGAAAAGCUUGUUUUUCAGGCGUCGAGCGGCGGACGGGUGAGUAACGCGUAGGAAUCUGCCUAGUAGUGGGGGACAACCUGUGGAAACGCAGGCUAAUACCGCAUAAUCCCUGAGGGGGAAAGGAGGGGAUCUUCGGACCUUUCGCUAUUAGAUGAGCCUGCGUGAGAUUAGCUAGUUGGUGAGGUAAAGGCUCACCAAGGCGACGAUCUCUAGCUGGUCUGAGAGGAUGAUCAGCCACACUGGGACUGAGACACGGCCCAGACUCCUACGGGAGGCAGCAGUGGGGAAUAUUGGACAAUGGGCGCAAGCCUGAUCCAGCCAUACCGCGUGUGUGAAGAAGGCCUUAGGGUUGUAAAGCACUUUCAGAAGGGAGGAAAGGUUAAUGUUUAAUACGCAUUAGCUGUGACGUUACCUUCANAAGAAGCACCGGCUAACUCUGUGCCAGCAGCCGCGG
Molecule: ribosomal RNA, 487 nt
Filed under: uncultured Gammaproteobacteria bacterium
Lineage: Bacteria; Pseudomonadati; Pseudomonadota; Gammaproteobacteria
Description: bacterial SSU rRNA
Rfam family: Bacterial small subunit ribosomal RNA
Source: RNAcentral